UGUAUAAUGGGUCAGCGACUUAUAUUCUGUAGCAAGGUUAACCGAAUAGGGGAGCCGAAGGGAAACCGAGUCUUAACUGGGCGUUAAGUUGCAGGGUAUAGACCCGAAACCCGGUGAUCUAGCCAUGGGCAGGUUGAAGGUUGGGUAACACUAACUGGAGGACCGAACCGACUAAUGUUGAAAAAUUAGCGGAUGACUUGUGGCUGGGGGUGAAAGGCCAAUCAAACCGGGAGAUAGCUGGUUCUCCCCGAAAGCUAUUUAGGUAGCGCCUCGUGAAUUCAUCUCCGGGGGUAGAGCACUGUUUCGGCAAGGGGGUCAUCCCGA
RNAcentral lists this ribosomal RNA (324 nucleotides) under Escherichia coli. RNAcentral's name for it is "bacterial LSU rRNA". It matches the Rfam family "Bacterial large subunit ribosomal RNA", at positions 609 to 934 of the family's 2925-position model. The record is from RNAcentral. Lineage: Bacteria; Pseudomonadati; Pseudomonadota; Gammaproteobacteria; Enterobacterales; Enterobacteriaceae.